UAGGGAAUCUUCCACAAUGGACGCAAGUCUGAUGGAGCAACGCCGCGUGAGUGAAGAAGGCUUUCGGGUCGUAAAACUCUGUUAUUGAAGAAGAACGUGUGUGACAGUAACUGGUCAUGCAGUGACGGUAUUCAAUCAGAAAGUCACGGCUAACUACGUGCCAGCAGCCGCGGUAAUACGUAGGUGGCAAGCGUUGUCCGGAUUUAUUGGGCGUAAAGCGAGUGCAGGCGGUCUUUUAAGUCUGAUGUGAAAGCCUUCGGCUUAACCGAAGAAGGGCAUCGGAAACUGGGAGACUUGAGUGCAGAAGAGGAGAGUGGAACUCCAUGUGUAGCGGUGAAAUGCGUAGAUAUAUGGAAGAACACCAGUGGCGAAGGCGGCUCUCUGGUCUGUAACUGACGCUGAGGCUCGAAAGCGUGGGUAGCAAACAGGAUUAGAUACCCUG
RNAcentral lists this ribosomal RNA (442 nucleotides) under uncultured bacterium. RNAcentral's name for it is "partial 16S ribosomal RNA". It matches the Rfam family "Bacterial small subunit ribosomal RNA", at positions 355 to 789 of the family's 1533-position model. The record is from RNAcentral.